RNAcentral lists this ribosomal RNA (253 nucleotides) under uncultured bacterium. RNAcentral's name for it is "partial 16S ribosomal RNA". It matches the Rfam family "Bacterial small subunit ribosomal RNA", at positions 524 to 776 of the family's 1533-position model. The record is from RNAcentral.
UACGUAGGCAGCGAGCGUUGUUCGGAGUUACUGGGCGUAAAGCGUGCGUAGGCGGUCGUCCAAGUCUGGUGUGAAAUCUCCCGGCUUAACUGGGAGGGUGCGCCGGAAACUGGGCUGCUGGAGUGCGGGAGAGGUAAGCGGAAUUCCCGGUGUAGCGGUGAAAUGCGUAGAUAUCGGGAGGAACCCCUGCGGUGUAGACGGCUUACGGGACCGCCACUGACGCUAAGGCACGAAAGCGUGGGUAGCAAACAGG